GUGGCGGGAUGCUUACCAUGCAAGUCGAACGAUGAAGCCCAGCUUGCUGGGUGGAUUAGUGGCGAACGGGUGAGUAACACGUGGGUGAUCUGCCCUGCACUCUGGGAUAAGCCUGGGAAACUGGGUCUAAUACCGGAUAUGACCUCUUGCUGCAUGGCGAGGGGUGGAAAGUUUUUCGGUGCAGGAUGAGCCCGCGGCCUAUCAGCUUGUUGGUGGGGUAAUGGCCUACCAAGGCGACGACGGGUAGCCGGCCUGAGAGGGCGACCGGCCACACUGGGACUGAGACACGGCCCAGACUCCUACGGGAGGCAGCAGUGGGGAAUAUUGCACAAUGGGCGAAAGCCUGAUGCAGCGACGCCGCGUGAGGGAUGACGGCCUUCGGGUUGUAAACCUCUUUCAGCAGGGACGAAGCGAAAGUGACGGUACCUGCAGAAGAAGCACCGGCCAACUACGUGCCAGCAGCCGCGGUAAUACGUAGGGUGCGAGCGUUGUCCGGAAUUACUGGGCGUAAAGAGCUCGUAGGCGGUUUGUCGCGUCGUCUGUGAAAUCCCGCAGCUCAACUGCGGGCUUGCAGGCGAUACGGGCAGACUCGAGUACUGCAGGGGAGACUGGAAUUCCUGGUGUAGCGGUGAAAUGCGCAGAUAUCAGGAGGAACACCGGUGGCGAAGGCGGGUCUCUGGGCAGUAACUGACGCUGAGGAGCGAAAGCGUGGGUAGCGAACAGGAUUAGAUACCCUGGUAGUCCACGCCGUAAACGGUGGGCGCUAGGUGUGGGUUUCCUUCCACGGGAUCCGUGCCGUAGCCAACGCAUUAAGCGCCCCGCCUGGGGAGUACGGCCGCAAGGCUAAAACUCAAGAAAAUUGGACGGG
RNAcentral lists this ribosomal RNA (868 nucleotides) under Actinobacteridae bacterium F1H12C07. Its description in RNAcentral is "bacterial SSU rRNA". It matches the Rfam family "Bacterial small subunit ribosomal RNA", at positions 39 to 918 of the family's 1533-position model. The record is from RNAcentral. Lineage: Bacteria; Bacillati; Actinomycetota; Actinomycetes.